AGUCGAACGGCAGCACGGACUUCGGUCUGGUGGCGAGUGGCGAACGGGUGAGUAAUGUAUCGGAACGUGCCUAGUAGCGGGGGAUAACUACGCGAACGCGUAGCUAAUACCGCAUACGCCCUACGGGGGAAAGCAGGGGAUCGCAAGACCUUGCACUAUUAGAGCGGCCGAUAUCGGAUUAGCUAGUUGGUGGGGUAACGGCUCACCAAGGCGACGAUCCGUAGCUGGUUUGAGAGGACGACCAGCCACACUGGGACUGAGACACGGCCCAGACUCCUACGGGAGGCAGCAGUGGGGAAUUUUGGACAAUGGGGGAAACCCUGAUCCAGCCAUCCCGCGUGUGCGAUGAAGGCCUUCGGGUUGUAAAGCACUUUUGGCAGGAAAGAAACGUCAUGGGUUAAUACCCCGUGAAACUGACGGUACCUGCAGAAUAACCACCGGCUUUCUACUUGCCACCACCCGCGGUAAUACGUAGGGUGCAAGCGUUAAUCGAAAUUACUGGGCGUAAACCGUGCCCAGGCGGUUCGUAAUAAAAUAAUGUGAAUUCCCUGACCUCCUCUUUGGAUCUGCUUUUUUAACUACCGAGCUACUGUGUGUCAGAGAGAGUGUGGAAUUCUCG
This 619-nucleotide ribosomal RNA is filed under the name uncultured bacterium. RNAcentral's name for it is "bacterial SSU rRNA". It matches the Rfam family "Bacterial small subunit ribosomal RNA", at positions 60 to 672 of the family's 1533-position model. The record is from RNAcentral.